Molecule: ribosomal RNA, 494 nt
Filed under: uncultured Actinomycetes bacterium
Lineage: Bacteria; Bacillati; Actinomycetota; Actinomycetes
Description: bacterial SSU rRNA
Rfam family: Bacterial small subunit ribosomal RNA
Source: RNAcentral
AGAGUUUGAUCAUGGCUCAGGACGAACGCUGGCGGCGUGCUUAACACAUGCAAGUCGAGCGGAAAGGCCCUUCGGGGUACUCGAGCGGCGAACGGGUGAGUAACACGUGAGUAACCUGCCCCUGACUCUGGGAUAAGCCCGGGAAACUGGGUCUAAUACCGGAUACGACAUCUCCCGGCAUCGGGUGGGUGUGGAAAGUUUUUUCGGUUGGGGAUGGGCUCGCGGCCUAUCAGCUUGUUGGUGGGGUAGUGGCCUACCAAGGCGACGACGGGUAGCCGGCCUGAGAGGGCGACCGGCCACACUGGGACUGAGACACGGCCCAGACUCCUACGGGAGGCAGCAGUGGGGAAUAUUGCGCAAUGGGCGGAAGCCUGACGCAGCGACGCCGCGUGGGGGAUGACGGCCUUCGGGUUGUAAACCUCUUUCAGCAGGGACGAAGUUGACGUGUACCUGCAGAAGAAGCGCCGGCUAACUACGUGCCAGCAGCCGCGGUA